CUUACCUUGUGUGUGGUUACACGAGGUACGAAAUUAGGCACUGGGAUAAGUAAAGCGCACAUUAACAGGGGCCAUUGCCAUUAAGUGGGACGAAGAUUAUCAGGUGCUAUGAAAUAUCGUCCAAUAAUUGUGAAGUUUGUCUUAUACUUAAAAUGAGCGGAGAGCUUUAACCGCAAGAGAAAAUUAACGGGGACAGAGAUUACAAUAAGAAAAGUCUUACAUAAGAGCGUCUAAAGACCUUGAAUAUCCCAUUUUGGUUUCCAGAAUAUGUGAACUCAGGAUGGCAAAGUAAUUAUCAAGACCACAGCUGGAAAGAAGACAGUUACAAACCUGCAGGCAGCCUAUUCCAGGGAACACCAGUGUCUCUCAAGAUGAUAUAAAACAUGAAGGAAAUUCCUCCCAGCCGGCCGAAGUGGCCGAGCGGUUCUAGGCGCUACAGUCUGGAGCCGCGCGACCGCUACAGUCGCAGGUAGAGGAGAGAGAAAAACAUUCACAAUAGGACUAAAACGUUACACAUGGCUGGCCUAACUAUGCUUGGCGCCGCCCCCUUGCUUGGGAGGGAAGGAAGGAAAUACUCAUCUACUGGUUCAAGGAUUUAUGAGGAAAUGUUACUCGUACAAUCAUGUACUAGUUGCCAAGGAACUCUUAUUUCAAAGAAAGGAUGUGUACUGACUGAUCAUUCAUGUACUAUCAUGUUGUUUCUACAUGCACUAGUGCUGUUUACUUCAAUUCACAUGUAGCUUAGUGUUAAUUAUGAAGGCGU
This is a long non-coding RNA of Schistocerca piceifrons (Central American locust), 763 nucleotides long. RefSeq lists it as uncharacterized. The transcript is spliced from 3 exons. NCBI's taxonomy places the organism in Eukaryota, Metazoa, Arthropoda, Insecta, Orthoptera, Acrididae. The record is from RefSeq and is a predicted model, not a curated record.